GCCAGGUGUGGUGGUGCACACCUGUAAUCCCAGCUACUAGGGAGGCUGAGGCAGAAGAAUCGCUUGAACCCAGGAGAAGGAGGUUGCAGUGAGCCGAGAUUGCUGAACUGCACUCCAGCCUGGGUGACACAGCGAGACUCCGUCUCAA
This 148-nucleotide non-coding RNA is filed under the name Chlorocebus sabaeus (green monkey). The record is from Rfam by way of RNAcentral. Lineage: Eukaryota; Metazoa; Chordata; Mammalia; Primates; Cercopithecidae.